UGAGUGUGUGUGUGCGUGUGUGCAUGAGGAUAUAUAUAUAUGUGUGUGUGUAUAUAUAUAUAUAUCCUCAUGCACACACGCACACACACACACA
This 94-nucleotide microRNA precursor is filed under the name Marmota monax (woodchuck). The record is from RNAcentral. Lineage: Eukaryota; Metazoa; Chordata; Mammalia; Rodentia; Sciuridae.